AAACGGUUCAGCAGCCGGACUGGAUGGUC
RNAcentral lists this small RNA (29 nucleotides) under Bombyx mori (domestic silkworm). RNAcentral describes it as "ovarian small RNA-10011". Lineage: Eukaryota; Metazoa; Arthropoda; Insecta; Lepidoptera; Bombycidae. The record is from RNAcentral.